UUAAUACUCCCUCUGUCCAAAAUUACUUGUCGUCAAAAUGGAUGUAUCUAGAACUAAAAUAUGUCUAGAACUUUAGAUACAUCUAUUUUUAUGACAAGUAAUUCCGGAGAGAGGGAGUACAAA
This 123-nucleotide microRNA precursor is filed under the name Hordeum vulgare. RNAcentral's name for it is "microRNA MIR1122". It matches the Rfam family "MIR1120/MIR1122 microRNA precursor family". Lineage: Eukaryota; Viridiplantae; Streptophyta; Magnoliopsida; Poales; Poaceae. The record is from RNAcentral.